RNAcentral lists this non-coding RNA (177 nucleotides) under Moraxellaceae bacterium. Its description in RNAcentral is "6S RNA". It matches the Rfam family "6S / SsrS RNA". From Rfam's summary of the family: E. coli 6S RNA was the first non coding RNA to be sequenced, but its function was unknown until recently. It consists of 184 nucleotides that fold into an extended hairpin structure with a large single-stranded internal bulge. The record is from RNAcentral. Lineage: Bacteria; Pseudomonadati; Pseudomonadota; Gammaproteobacteria; Moraxellales; Moraxellaceae.
AGCUCCCUGGGUGGAUCGUGAUUCUACUGCGUCCCUGAGCCGAUGUUUACCUUUAGGAGGCAACUCGCAUUGCUGGCGCGCAUGUCCGCUUGACGGAAAGCCCAACGCUUUACAGAUGCCACCACCUUGAACCUUAGGGUUCAAGGACCAUGUUGAUAGCGUCCAUUCGGGGAGCUC